UAGUAUGAAUGCCCCGUAGCCCAUGACACAGGAUUUAACUCCGUCAUAAAAAAGGAUCAGUGUAGUGACGUGAAACUGAAAAUUAUUCCUUCUUCUGGGUUGGGCUGAGCUGAGCUAUCACAGGAGCUGCCCUUCGCAAGCGCAAAGCCACUGACCGCCCGAGCACCUACUUGCCUGCGCGUCCCUUCGUCUCCUAACUUGCCAUUGAGAAGCACAGGCUGCUCCCUGGAAACCGGUUAUGAUCUCAAAUUGGUGAUCACUGAGGACUAAGACAUCAUGAAGUUCCAAGACAAGAAGCUUUGCAAUAACAAAUGAAGCUUUAGGCUCCAUCUGGCCAGACCCUUCUUUCUGACACAUUUUGCUCCUCUUCUCAAUGAUAAGCAGCAAGGUGAUCAAAGCAAGUUUAAAAGCUUAAAUGCCUCAGAAGUAUACUGUCUUCUUGGAUUUCACAAGUCAAAUUCAGUUCAAAUUGUAUUAAGAUCAAUGUUCAAUUAACUUAAUAAAUAUUCUUCUUUUGUAAUUGAAGAAGUAUAAGUCAAACGCUAAUGAAUAUGUUUAAAAUAUUUUUUCUAUUGUGACAUUAUCCAACAUAAUAUUAAAUUCAGUUAAAAAAAAAACCUUACCAAAUGUAUGAACUAAUUUAAACAUUAAAAAUAUAAUAGUUCUUGAUAAGAAAGUUACUUUCUUUAAUUAUGAGGGGUGUGAGUGAGUAUAAUGGGUAGUAAAUGGAAAGUUUUAGUUUAUUUAUUGGAUCGAUUAUCUAUGUGAUAUUUUCCCUCAAAAUGGAAUAUGCUGUGAAUGAAUUGCUGUCUAAUAUUUAUGCUAUAAUGCAAAAGUUGUAAAAAUAAUAGCAAAUAUAUUUUCACCUUAUCAGGCAAAGUAAGCUCAGGGAUACCUCAUACAAUCCGUAUAUGCACCAUCACUUGUUUUGAGUGCUACAAGCUGGAAAUAGGGAUUCCUAAAUGCAAGUUUUUUAUUGUACAUGAUGCUUUAAAAUAAUGCAAGGUUUCAGUUCCCUGUCCCCAGGGCCUAUUCAGGGUGCCAUGUGCUCAUGGUGCACUGCUGGCUGAAGGAGCCCAGUCCUGGGAUGCAUAGUCAUAUUCCAUGGGUGUGCCUGUUCUCCAUCACAUCCUCCGUAGUUGGUGUUCAUGGCAUUUGCUUUCAGGAAGACAGAAUGUCGGUCUUGUGUGCCACCCACAGUGUAUCCCUCCCUUACCACCUAUGUGACUGAGGUUGGCUUCUGUGUUGACCUUUAUAAAACAAAACCCUCAAAUCAAGUUGCUGUAAUUAGAAAAGAAAGAAAGGAAGGAAAAAAAAAGAAAGAAAGGAAGGAAGGAUGGAAGCCAACAAGCAAGCAAACAAGCUGGGUUUGAACAAAUAGGUUACAAAAUUGUGUCUUUUCCUACUACAAAUGAUCAUAACUUAUGAUUUUCUUAUAGAAUUGAUUUUUACAUAACUUAAAAUUAUGCUCUAAAAUCAAAAGUUAAAAAAUACAGAUAAUCCAAAUAAAGACUGUAAAAAUUAAAAAUACAAUCCUAGAGAGAAUAGCUAUGAAAAUUUUGGUGUAUAUUAUUCUA
This is a long non-coding RNA of Acinonyx jubatus (cheetah), 1577 nucleotides long. RefSeq lists it as uncharacterized. Lineage: Eukaryota; Metazoa; Chordata; Mammalia; Carnivora; Felidae. The record is from RefSeq and is a predicted model, not a curated record. The transcript has 4 exons.